RNAcentral lists this ribosomal RNA (430 nucleotides) under Pseudomonadota bacterium. Its description in RNAcentral is "Proteobacteria bacterium partial 16S ribosomal RNA". It matches the Rfam family "Bacterial small subunit ribosomal RNA", at positions 355 to 776 of the family's 1533-position model. The record is from RNAcentral. Lineage: Bacteria; Pseudomonadati; Pseudomonadota.
UGGGGAAUAUUGGACAAUGGGGGGAACCCUGAUCCAGCCAUGCCGCGUGGGUGAAGAAGGCCUUAUGGUUGUAAAGCACUUUAAGCGAGGAGGAGGGUACUGGUAUUAAUACUACCAGGUACUGGACGUUACUCGCAGAAUAAGCACCGGCUAACUCUGUGCCAGCAGCCGCGGUAAUACAGAGGGUGCGAGCGUUACUCGGAUUUACUGGGCGUAAAGCGUGCGUAGGCGGCUAAUUGAGUCGGAUGUGAAAGCCCCGAGCUUAACUUGGGAAUUGCAUUCGAUACUGGUUAGCUAGAGUGUGGGAGAGGAUGGUAGAGUUCCAGGUGUAGCGGUGAAAUGCGUAGAGAUCUGGAGGAAUACCGAUGGCGAAGGCAGCCAUCUGGCCUAACACUGACGCUGAGGUACGAAAGCAUGGGGAGCAAACAGG